ACAUGCAGUCGAGCGGUAGAGAGAAGCUUGCUUCUCUUGAGAGCGGCGGACGGGUGAGUAAUGCCUAGGAAUCUGCCUGGUAGUGGGGGAUAACGUUCGGAAACGGACGCUAAUACCGCAUACGUCCUACGGGAGAAAGCAGGGGACCUUCGGGCCUUGCGCUAUCAGAUGAGCCUAGGUCGGAUUAGCUAGUUGGUGAGGUAAUGGCUCACCAAGGCGACGAUCCGUAACUGGUCUGAGAGGAUGAUCAGUCACACUGGAACUGAGACACGGUCCAGACUCCUACGGGAGGCAGCAGUGGGGAAUAUUGGACAAUGGGCGAAAGCCUGAUCCAGCCAUGCCGCGUGUGUGAAGAAGGUCUUCGGAUUGUAAAGCACUUUAAGUUGGGAGGAAGGGUUGUAGAUUAAUACUCUGCAAUUUUGACGUUACCGACAGAAUAAGCACCGGCUAACUCUGUGCCAGCAGCCGCGGUAAUACAGAGGGUGCAAGCGUUAAUCGGAAUUACUGGGCGUAAAGCGCGCGUAGGUGGUUUGUUAAGUUGGAUGUGAAAUCCCCGGGCUCAA
This 563-nucleotide ribosomal RNA is filed under the name Pseudomonas sp. Its description in RNAcentral is "bacterial SSU rRNA". It matches the Rfam family "Bacterial small subunit ribosomal RNA", at positions 53 to 612 of the family's 1533-position model. The record is from RNAcentral. Lineage: Bacteria; Pseudomonadati; Pseudomonadota; Gammaproteobacteria; Pseudomonadales; Pseudomonadaceae.